Acanthosepion pharaonis is the source of this 112-nucleotide non-coding RNA. Lineage: Eukaryota; Metazoa; Mollusca; Cephalopoda; Sepiida; Sepiidae. The record is from the annotation of a GenBank genome assembly.
UAUGGCCAUAUCACUUUAAUACGCCGGUUCACGUCAGAUGAACGAAGUUAAGCAAAGUCAAGCCUGGUCAGUACUUAGAUGGGUAACCGCUUAGGAACACCAGGGGCUGUAA